GAUGAAGAACUUAGCGAAAUGCGAUAAGUAAUGCGAAUUGCAGAAUUCCGUGAGUCAUCGAAUCUUUGAACGCACAUUGCGCCCUCUGGUAUUCCGGAGGGCAUGCCUGUCUGAGCGUCAUUGUCAACCCUCAAGCUCAGCUUGCUGUUGGGUCCCCGUCGUUGCUUUAACGGCGGACCCGAAAGGUAAUGGCAGAGUCCGUGAGACCCUAGACGCAGCGAGCUUCUAGCACGCGUCUGGACGUUUUUCGGGCUCGGUCUUAACUAGAUGAUAACUUCCGAUUGACCUCAGAUCAGGUAGGGAUACCCGCUGAACUUAAGCAUAUCAAUAAGCGGAGGA
RNAcentral lists this unclassified non-coding RNA (339 nucleotides) under soil metagenome. RNAcentral's name for it is "partial contains 5.8S ribosomal RNA, internal transcribed spacer 2, and large subunit ribosomal RNA". The stretch from base 1 to 120 matches the Rfam family "5.8S ribosomal RNA", at positions 35 to 154 of the family's 154-position model. The record is from RNAcentral.